RNAcentral lists this ribosomal RNA (443 nucleotides) under Lepisma saccharinum. RNAcentral describes it as "Lepisma saccharina partial 16S ribosomal RNA". It matches the Rfam family "Bacterial large subunit ribosomal RNA", at positions 1830 to 2523 of the family's 2925-position model. Lineage: Eukaryota; Metazoa; Arthropoda; Insecta; Zygentoma; Lepismatidae. The record is from RNAcentral.
CUUUUCAUGAUUUUUAUAUGAAGUAUAACCUGCCCAAUGACACUUGUUUAAUGGCCGCGGUAUUUUGACCGUGCGAAGGUAGCAUAAUCAUUAGUCUUUUAAUUGGGGGCUAGAAUGAAUGGUUGGACGAGGAAUAGACUGUCUUUAGUUAAUUAAUGUAUAAUUUUACUUUAAAGUGAAAAGGCUUUAUUUUUUUAAGGGGACGAUAAGACCCUAUAGAUCUUUAUAUUAUUUUAAUGAUGUUUUGGUUAGUAGUAUAAUUAUAUAUAUUAUUUAAUAAUAUUUCGUUGGGGUGAUGGGAAGAUAAUAAUUAGCUCUUUUUUAUUUAAUAUUCAAUAAUUUUUGUUAUUUGGGAUCCAUUUUUAGUGAUUUAAAGAAUAAGUUACCUUAGGGAUAACAGCGUAAUCUUUCUUGAGAGAUCUUAUCGACAGGAGGGGUUGCGA